GGAAUAUAAGAACUCGUCUCUUGAUUUUUAACUAAAAAAACUAAAAAACGGUUCUUAAAUACGAGUUUUAAAAGCCGGUUCUUAAUUUUUUUAGUUAAAAGUUAAGAGAUAGAUUCUUAUAUUCC
Non-coding RNA from Brassica napus (rape), 125 nucleotides. NCBI's taxonomy places the organism in Eukaryota, Viridiplantae, Streptophyta, Magnoliopsida, Brassicales, Brassicaceae. The record is from Rfam.